Non-coding RNA from Dermacentor albipictus, 762 nucleotides. NCBI's taxonomy places the organism in Eukaryota, Metazoa, Arthropoda, Arachnida, Ixodida, Ixodidae. The record is from RefSeq and is a predicted model, not a curated record.
AAGUUCUCGACUUAAAUAUAGCAAAGCGGUUCUAAAGCUGGCAGUUUUUUUUUUUGAUAAACGGUCUUUGCGUUUGAUCGCCAAGUUCGCUAUUGAUAUGUGCAACGCCGCGAUUGUUUCACCCUCUCAUGCGGCCAAUUCUCACGUAAUAACGUUUUUGUGAACAGAGGCACCGGUUGCUUGGUUAUCCCUGGCUUCUCAAUGUUCCAUUCACAAAAAUUGGGCCCCUAAAGUUACUACGCUGGAUCUGCAAAGCGAGUUGCGCAGAAGCUGCCUGGAAAGACCGUGCGCCGAAGGAGUCCACGUCGACUGCCGGGAACAGGAGUACCAAGGAACAUGUUGCGAGCCACUCUGUUUGUCGUCAUACUUUGUGGUGCGGUGCUUUGUAGGAGUACGGGCUUGAAAGGAUCGCCUGUAUGCGUCAAGCCAGACUGUUCCACACACCGAAAUAGACAGAAUAUGAGUUGUACGAACCCAUGCGAGGGAUACUUCUGCAAGGAUGGACGUCUCAUGACUCUCAAGUGCAUAGGAGCGGACGACCCACUCUGCGAUACUCCUUACGGUGGGACUGGACCGUAUCCUGAUUGUUGUGGCCCAGUGAGGUGCAGCGAAUCCGCAGGAAAGGGCGGAUCUCGAAGGCCUUGAAUGACUUCGAGACCUCGGUCUGAAAAAAACUGGAAGGAUACAAGUUCGCAUUGACUGAGCACAGGCGACUAAGAGGGAGCGCAAGGAAGUUUCAGAAAAAAUCAGACAGUUCCAUAA